AAUAGAUACCCUGGUAGUCCACGCCGUAAACGAUGGAUGCUAGCCGUCGGGGAGCUUGCUCUUCGGUGGCGCAGCUAACGCAUUAAGCAUCCCGCCUGGGGAGUACGGUCGCAAGAUUAAACUCAAAGAAUUGACGGGGCCCGCACAAGCGGUGGAGCAUGUGGCUUAAUUCGAAGCAACGCGCAGAACCUUACCAGCUCUUGACAUGUCUCGUAUGGGUACCGGAGACGGUAUCCUUCAGUUCGGCUGGCGAGAACACAGGUGCUGCAUGGCUGUCGUCAGCUCGUGUCGUGAGAUGUUGGGUUAAGUCCCGCAACGAGCGCAACCCUCGCCUCUAGUUGCCAUCAUUCGAGUUGGGCACUCUAGAGGGACUGCCGGUGAUAAGCCGAGAGGAAGGUGGGGAUGACGUCAAGUCCUCAUGGCCCUUACGGGCUGGGCUACACACGUGCUACAAUGGCGGUGACAAUGGGCAGCGAAGGGGCGACCCGGAGCUAAUCUCAAAAAGCCGU
RNAcentral lists this ribosomal RNA (509 nucleotides) under uncultured bacterium. RNAcentral describes it as "bacterial SSU rRNA". It matches the Rfam family "Bacterial small subunit ribosomal RNA", at positions 777 to 1286 of the family's 1533-position model. The record is from RNAcentral.